Molecule: ribosomal RNA, 468 nt
Filed under: uncultured bacterium
Lineage: Bacteria
Description: partial 16S ribosomal RNA
Rfam family: Bacterial small subunit ribosomal RNA
Source: RNAcentral
GACGAACGCUGGCGGCGUGCUUAACACAUGCAAGUCGAACGGAAAGGCCCUGCUUUUGUGGGGUGCUCGAGUGGCGAACGGGUGAGUAACACGUGAGUAACCUGCCCUUGACUUUGGGAUAACUUCAGGAAGCUGGGGCUAAUACCGGAUAGGAGCUCCUGCUGCAUGGUGGGGGUUGGAAAGUUUCGGCGGUUGGGGAUGGACUCGCGGCUUAUCAGCUUGUUGGUGGGGUAGUGGCUGACCAAGGCUUUGACGGGUAGCCGGCCUGAGAGGGUGACCGGCCACAUUGGGACUGAGAUACGGCCCAGACUCCUACGGGAGGCAGCAGUGGGGAAUAUUGCACAAUGGGCGGAAGCCUGAUGCAGCAACGCCGCGUGCGGGAUGACGGCCUUCGGGUUGUAAACCGCUUUCGCCUGUGACGAAGCGUGAGUGACGGUAAUGGGUAAAGAAGCACCGGCUAACUACGUG